This 3759-nucleotide long non-coding RNA is filed under the name Manihot esculenta (cassava). Its description in RNAcentral is "long non-coding RNA (MESC_LNC008668)". Lineage: Eukaryota; Viridiplantae; Streptophyta; Magnoliopsida; Malpighiales; Euphorbiaceae. The record is from RNAcentral.
CGUCACAGCACAAACAUUUCACAACUCGGAUUGGACAUGACCCCAAAACUCCCUCUGUCGGUGCCCGGCCCCCAAAGGAGCUCACACAGGUCUUUCACUAAUCUACUCAUGGUGCCCGACCCUAGAAGGGCUCUCACAGGACUUAUCCAAGUAAAAUGCCCGGCCCCAAAGGAGCUCUCACAGGACUCACAAUAAUGACAGACUUAUGGGCUAUUGGAGUCGCCUCGGUCCAAUCCACAUAGACAAAUAAUAAUGCAAUGCAUCAUCUUCGUGUAUACUCGUGCAAUGCAAAGCCUCCUACAUAUCAUGGCAUUAAUGAUGCGUGAAUCAUGCUAAAACAUUCUUUAACUUAAAAACAAAGUUCUGUUCCACUCACCUCUGUCAACUGCUGAGCAGUCUCUGUAACUCUAACUCUGUGGGCCUUCUGGGUUCCUCGGGUCCGCACCUACACAGGUGGACUCAAAUGAGGACCAAACUCACUUAUACACAACGCUGAAUAUCUCCCCAAAACCCCUCUAAAACAUCAUAAGCAUGCAUGGAAAAAUGGGCAAACGAAGGCUGGACAGGGCACCUUCGGCGGCACUUUCGGCGGCCGAAACCCCCCUCCAGAGACGAAACUCAUGCAUGUUCGGCGGCACUUUCGGCGGCCGAAGGUCUCGUCCAGAGACGAAACUCACACACUUUCGGCGGCCGAACUUCCUCUUUCGGCGGCCGAAAGUCCUUUUCUAAACCGAAAUCCUAGCUUUCGGGGGCAGGCUUUGGCAGCCGAAACUGCCUCCACAAGGGGUUCGGCGGCCGAACCUGGAUUCUCCAGAAAGGCAGAAUCCGAGCACAACUCAUGCUCUCAGCCUCCAAAAACCUAUAAAACACCCAUAACAUGCAUACCAACACUUUUUAACUAGCACAUAACAUAUCUCAUGCAUAUAGGGGCCUAUAAACUAGCUCAAACCCCAUAAGCAACUUCAAAACUCAUCAAAGCUCAUAUGAUCAACAUAUGCUUAAACUCAUGGUUACACCCCAAAACAUGCUAUAAAACUCUCUAAAAACUCUUAAAACAUACUUUAACCAUAAGGGGAGGUGAGGAUCCAUGCUUACCUCUUGAAGAACUAGAGGAUUGAUGGUCCAAGCUUGGAGAUGGGUGUAAAACUCAAUCAAAGUCUCCAAGUGCUCACUUCGCUUCCUUUUGCUUAAAACUCUAAAACAAAGCUCAAAACAUGUUAAAACAUGCAAGAUUUGAGGAAAACAUGAAAAAUCCUGUAAUCCCAAAGCGACAAACUCCUCUGUGCGCUUUACCGCACCUACUGCAUACUGGAACCUCUGAACCUGAACUCAUGCCACUGCCCAAUCCCAGACCUGCUUUAAUCUUAUUCCAGAACUUAUUCUUCCUCGACUUCUGAGUGGAACCACUCCACUUCUUCCCACUGGAAGCUGCUGCACCCUGUGAAGAGGGAUCUGAUUUCCCCUUGCCUGGGGUCUUAGGACCUGAGGACUGUGCCGUCUGCUGUUUCACUGUACCCUGUAUAAUGGCACUAGCCUCCAUCCUUCGUGCUAAAUCCACCACGGUGUGGAAACUCUCCCUCUCGGCUGCAUGGAUCAAGGAGGAAUACCUGGAAUGAAGUUUCAUAACAUACCUCCUGGCCUUUUUCUGUUCAGUAUCAUAGGCUUGUCCUGCAUACCGCAGCAACUCUAGAAACCUGUUAGUAAACUCAUCUAUACUCAUAUCCUCUGUCUGCUUAAGCUGCUCAAACUCUCUCUCGAGCUAUCUGGAAACGCCCAACCGGCAAACUCGUUUGCAAACUCCUCCCAUGACAUGUUAUCCACUCUAGGGUCCACAUAAUCACUAAACCAUUCCUUUGCCUUCUUGCAUUUUAAAGUGAACCCUGCCAUCUGAAUGGCUCUGGUAUCAUCUGCCCCUAGCUCAUCUGCUAUCAUCUUUACUGCUUUAAUGUACUCAAACGGAUCAUCUCCAGUUUGGUACUUAGGAGCAUCUAGCUUUAGGUAGUCAGUCAUCUUUACCCUGCUCCUCUCAGAUGGGCCAGGUUGAGGUGUUAGGAUAACUGGGGCUUCUGGUUCUACCACUGGUGGUGGUGGUGGAGGUGGUGCAGAACUCUCUGGUAUAGGGUGUGCUGGACUGGGGUAAAAAGGUGAGGGUGGAUACAUGGGAUAUGGUGGAUAUGGUGGGUAAUAAGGUGGAUAAGGCAUAUAUGUGGGAUAUGGGUGAAAACUAGGAUACUCCGAUGUGCCUCCCAUCGAAUAUCCUGGGCCCUGUGGGUAGGGCUGAUAGUGGGGUGGAUAACCAUACCCCGAGGCCUGACCGCCUCCCUGUGAUGAUCCCACAUCCUCCUCUGUAGUGCCAACACCUAACCCUCCAUCCCUUCUUGAAUCCACAUCCAUCUCUUCCCUUGUAUCACUAGAUCUUCUUCUCUGUUCUGUUUCCCUCCUGCCUUCAUCAAAAGACCUUCGAGGGUCCCUUGAUGAUCUUUCUCUGCCUGCCCUUUGGGACAUAGCUCUUGGUAAAGCAGGGGAUGCCCUUCCAUGCCCUCAUUCUCGGGCAGAGCUCCAGUCAAUCUAGCGGAUCGACGGGUUCCUCUCAUCUUAGCUUCUGAAAACAUAACAUAAACUUAAACUUUAGCAUCACAUGAUCCACGUAAAAACACGAACCCGCAACUCAUAGCAUAACAUAUCAUAAAAAUGCACAUGCAUAAGAUCAUGGCAUUACACAUCAUCAAGACAGGACUCAACAUCCUAUCCUAGUGGACAUGAUCUUUCCUAUUGUGCUUGCCCUCUAAAACAACCUCUUUCCGAUGUGAGAUAUCUCUAAUCCCUGAGCAUCUUAGCUCAGCACACCGUACUCUAGAGGCCCUAGGCUCUGAUACCAAUCUGUAACAGCCCGCUUAUCGGACCGCCACUGGCACUAGGAUCCAGAUCGACUUAAGACCGCCGGGACCCGUAGUAAGCCUAUUGUAAACUCUGUGUAUCUGAUAAAGCCCAUACAUGAUCAUACUUAAGCUUAAAACUCUUACUCUCUUCUUAUUUUCUUUUUUUUUUCUUUUUGCUUUUCUAAUCUUGUCUACACUAAGCUUGGACUAUGCAUGCCCUGUCUGUAUGCACUCAGAGAGUGAUACCUGCUGUGGUACCAUACAGUAACUACAGAGAUAGCAACCCCUCACUAGAGUCCUCAUCAAUGCUCUAGAUGGGUUAUACUACCAUGCUCCAAGCCUAGCUCUCAUCAUAAUGACAUCCUCUCAUCCAUAAACUCAAACAUAAAACAUAGACAUAAAAUGAUCAUGUGCAAAGGGAUAAACAUACACUAGGGCCAAGCACAGUUCUAUAACUCAGUACAUAACUUGCUAUUACAUCAUUUCUAUAUAUAUUACAUAAACUCUGUACUGUACAUCAUGUCCACUUUCUAUGCUAUUACAUAUGCUUUUACCCUUGCUUUCUCUUUCUCUUUCUCUUCUCUGAGGCCCUGAAAACAUGGGGUUAGGGAGAGGGAUGAGCUACUAGAGCCCAGUGAGCGGAAACCAUAAACACAUUUAAAACAUGCUAUCAUGACAUGCGUCACAGCACAAACAUUUCACAACUCGGAUUGGACAUGACCCCAAAACUCCCUCUGUCGGUGCCCAGCCCCCAAAGGAGCUCACACAGGUCUUUCACUAAUCUACUCAUGGUGCCCGACCCUAGAAGGGCUCUCACAGGACUUAUCCAAGUAAAAUGCCCGGCCCCAAAGGAGCUCUCACAGGACUCACAAUAAUGACA